CCGGCACGGACGUCGCGACCCGUUUGGUGUCGGUCUCAGGAGACGCGUUUCACGUUCGUCGACGCGUCGUCUGCCUCGGUAGGCGCGCGUUGCGAGUACGCGUUCGUGUUCCGGCCGACUCGCCAGACGGUAGGUUAAUGGUGGCCGCGGCGGUCGUUCGCUUCGCGGCGAUCAGCGCCGUCCGCGGUGCCGGUUUGCGACGAAUCUUCGGGCCUCUUUCCGACCCGUCUUGAAACACGGACCAAGGAGUCUAACGUGCGCGCGAGUCGCGGGGUGUCGAGCGGCGGUCGUGUUUCGGCACGACCGUCGUUCGUUACGACGCGAAACCCGUACCGUUCAUUCGGAAGGCGCAAUGAAAGUGAAAUGGGGAAGAUGGCGUUACCGAGUUCACGUUUCGCGACUCGAUCGCGACCGGUCGCCCGCAUUCCCAGGGCGUCCCAACGGCUCGGCGGCGUUGCGGAUCGUCGUUCCUUCGGGAACGGCGGUCGGGCGUCGUCGGUCCGGGGCGCACCUACAGCGUGCACGUUGGUACCCGAAAGAUGGUGAACUAUGCCCGGCCAGGAUGAAGUCA
RNAcentral lists this ribosomal RNA (571 nucleotides) under Phenacoccus solenopsis (Solenopsis mealybug). RNAcentral's name for it is "LSU rRNA". It matches the Rfam family "Eukaryotic large subunit ribosomal RNA", at positions 434 to 854 of the family's 3401-position model. The record is from RNAcentral. Lineage: Eukaryota; Metazoa; Arthropoda; Insecta; Hemiptera; Pseudococcidae.